This 255-nucleotide ribosomal RNA is filed under the name uncultured bacterium. RNAcentral's name for it is "partial 16S ribosomal RNA". It matches the Rfam family "Bacterial small subunit ribosomal RNA", at positions 524 to 776 of the family's 1533-position model. The record is from RNAcentral.
UACGGAGGGUGCGAGCGUUGUCCGGAAUCACUGGGCGUAAAGGGCGCGUAGGCGGCAUGCCAAGCGUGUGGUGAAGCCCGGGGCUCAACCCCGGAUCUGCCGUGCCGACUGGUCAGACGUCGAGGACUGUAGAGGCAGGCGGAAUUCCGGGUGUAGCGGUGGAAUGCGUAGAGAUCAGGAGGAACACCGGUGGCGAAGGCGGGUCUCUGGGCCGAUACUGACGCUGGAGGAGCGAAAGCGUGGGGAGCGAACAGG